GACGAACGCUGGCGGCGUGCUUAACACAUGCAAGUCGAACGGAAAGACCCUGCUUUUGUGGGGUGCUCGAGUGGCGAACGGGUGAGUAACACGUGAGUAACCUGCCCUUGACUUUGGGAUAACUUCAGGAAACUGGGGCUAAUACCGGAUAGGAGCUCCUGCUGCAUGGUGGGGGUUGGAAAGUUUCGGCGGUUGGGGAUGGACUCGCGGCUUAUCAGCUUGUUGGUGGGGUAGUGGCUUACCAAGGCUUUGACGGGUAGCCGGCCUGAGAGGGUGACCGGCCACAUUGGGACUGAGAUACGGCCCAGACUCCUACGGGAGGCAGCAGUGGGGAAUAUUGUACAAUGGGCGGAAGCCUGAUGCAGCAGCGCCGCGUGCGGGAUGACGGCCUUCGGGUUGUAAACCGCUUUCGCCUGUGACGAAGCGUGAGUGACGGUAAUGGGUAAAGAAGCACCGGCUAACUACGUG
This 468-nucleotide ribosomal RNA is filed under the name uncultured bacterium. RNAcentral's name for it is "partial 16S ribosomal RNA". It matches the Rfam family "Bacterial small subunit ribosomal RNA", at positions 28 to 507 of the family's 1533-position model. The record is from RNAcentral.